This 252-nucleotide ribosomal RNA is filed under the name uncultured bacterium. RNAcentral's name for it is "partial 16S ribosomal RNA". It matches the Rfam family "Bacterial small subunit ribosomal RNA", at positions 524 to 776 of the family's 1533-position model. The record is from RNAcentral.
UACGGAGGAUGCGAGCGUUAUCCGGAUUUAUUGGGUUUAAAGGGUGCGUAGGCGGACUGUCAAGUCAGCGGUAAAAUUGGGAGGCUCAACCUCUUCCCGCCGUUGAAACUGGUGGUCUUGAGUGGAUGAGAAGUACGCGGAAUGCGUGGUGUAGCGGUGAAAUGCAUAGAUAUCACGCAGAACUCCGAUUGCGAAGGCAGCGUACCGGCAUCCAACUGACGCUGAGGCACGAAAGCGUGGGGAUCAAACAGG